CUCUUAUCCCGAGCUGGUGGAGGGACAGGCCCAAUGAAACCCAGCAACCUGCAAACGAGAAUGACAGCUUUUGAAUUUGCUGUCCCUUUUUCGGGCAAAGGUGCUAACCUGAUGCAAGGGAUUUGCCCUUGAACGAUAAGAG
Molecule: non-coding RNA, 142 nt
Filed under: Mesobacillus subterraneus
Lineage: Bacteria; Bacillati; Bacillota; Bacilli; Caryophanales; Bacillaceae
Description: Bacillus subterraneus SAM-I sequence
Rfam family: SAM riboswitch aptamer (S box leader)
About the family: The SAM riboswitch is found upstream of a number of genes which code for proteins involved in methionine or cysteine biosynthesis in Gram-positive bacteria. The SAM riboswitch acts at the level of transcription termination control.
Source: Rfam by way of RNAcentral